UACGGGGGGUGCGAGCGUUAAUCGGAAUGACUGGGCGUAAAGGGCACGUAGGCGGUUAGUUAAGUUAGAUGUGAAAUCCCUGGGCUUAACCUAGGAACUGCAUUUAAGACUGGUUAGCUGGAGUAUCGUAGAGGGGGGUAGAAUUCCACGUGUAGCGGUGAAAUGCGUAGAGAUGUGGAGGAAUACCGGUGGCGAAGGCGGCCCUCUGGACGAGUACUGACGCUGAGGUGCGAAAGCGUGGGGAGCAAACAGG
RNAcentral lists this ribosomal RNA (253 nucleotides) under uncultured bacterium. Its description in RNAcentral is "partial 16S ribosomal RNA". It matches the Rfam family "Bacterial small subunit ribosomal RNA", at positions 524 to 776 of the family's 1533-position model. The record is from RNAcentral.